UAUAAUUUUAUUAAUUGGCAUUGUAUUUUUGUUUUGUUGAACAAUAAACUUUUUCUUUAAAAUAAUAUUCUAACUUUGUAAUGCUUUAGUAUAAGAACAACAAUUAACAAAUGUAAGCAACUAAAAAAAAUAUGGUUAUGAGAAAAACCUUGAACUGUUAUUAUUUUUAAAACUGUUCACAUAAAUAUAAAAUGCAAUGAUGAAAUCAAAAAUGUAUAGUUUAAUUGAAAAAUAUUUGCUCUUGUUUCAAAUCCAUAAAAAUGAUCGAUGUUACCACUCCAUGUGACGGCUUGAUACCAACACCAUACAUUUUCUGUUUAAUUUACAGAAAAAACAGGCAGAAAUCAUGAUUUUUCACGAAGAACUGCAUAAUCAUUCAAAUCUUUUGUCCAAUAUUUGAUAUUGUCAAACAAAUUUGGAAGCUUCAUCUUCAGUAGUUCAGUCUACAACUACAAAUAAUAAAAGUACCUAGUUACUACAGUUUUAAAUGGAUUAUGGGAUAUAAGAAAUGCGACCGUUGGAAUCAGCUCUAAAACAAUAUAUUAUGUACCUAUGUUGAAUAUGAUUUGUGCUAAGAUAUAAUGUACCUACCAUAAAUGUACUAUAAAAAAAUAGUUAUAAGUUUUCAUAGUUUAAUUAUUUUAUUACCAUGCAGUCUAUGCUGGCAGAAAUUGUAAAGUACAUUAUUUAUUUGAUAUAUACUACAUGUAAAUUAUAUAAUUUGAAAUGUUGAGGUUAUGGAAUGAUUAUUAAUAAUUUUAAUCUGUUCAAUUUUUAAAAACUGUAAAAGAGUUUAUAUUAUUCAAAUUCAAUUCUAGAUUUUUAAGUCUUAGUAUAUUACCAAUUAUUGUAUACCUACAGUGUUUUUUUUUAUAUUUCAAUUAAUUUUGUUGAUGUUUUGUACUAUUAAUUGUUGAUAUACAUUAGUCAUUAACAAUUAUAACCAGAAAUGGUUUCAUAUGGAAAAAAUACCAAAAGAUUACAAGAUUACAGACAUACCAUAUUGCCGUCACAUAUUAUACUAAAGUUUCUCAUUAGCAAGUUACCUAGCUGUAUAAAGACAUUAUCUAUACAGUUUCAGAUAAUCAGAUCUGUUUAUUUUAACACCUAUCUUUAAUUGUAAAAAGUAUAAAAAUAAUUCAAAACUAAUAUUAUUUUACUUAUUAUUUGAAGUUAAUGUAAGAUUCUGUUUUAUAUAAGAAAGACCUAAACGUUGUUAUUUAUUUCUUGUGAACAUUUGUUGUUAAUAGUUGGUAUGUCUGCAAUCGUAUAACUCUUUUUUUAGGUUAAGCAAUUUUUUUCAUAUAAUUUUGUGAAUUAAUUAAUAAUCAUAAUGGUACUAUUGUGGGACAACA
Acyrthosiphon pisum (pea aphid) is the source of this 1355-nucleotide long non-coding RNA. RefSeq lists it as uncharacterized. The transcript has 3 exons. Lineage: Eukaryota; Metazoa; Arthropoda; Insecta; Hemiptera; Aphididae. The record is from RefSeq and is a predicted model, not a curated record.